Molecule: ribosomal RNA, 225 nt
Filed under: uncultured bacterium
Lineage: Bacteria
Description: partial 16S ribosomal RNA
Rfam family: Bacterial small subunit ribosomal RNA
Source: RNAcentral
UACGAAGGGGGCUAGCGUUGUUCGGAUUUACUGGGCGUAAAGCGCACGUAGGCGGAUCUUUAAGUCAGAGGUGAAAUCCCAAGGCUCAACCUUGGAACUGCCUUUGAUACUGGGGAUCUUGAGUCCGGGAGAGGUGAGUGGAACUGCGAGUGUAGAGGUGAAAUUCGUAGAUAUUCGCAAGAACACCAGUGGCGAAGGCGGCUCACUGGCUCGGUACUGACGCUG